Molecule: long non-coding RNA, 781 nt
Organism: Biomphalaria glabrata
Lineage: Eukaryota; Metazoa; Mollusca; Gastropoda; Planorbidae
Exons: 3
Source: RefSeq, a predicted model, not a curated record
GACGGUUUAUAUAUUUGAAUUUGCCCUCUUUUCAGGAGCUGGAACAUUCUCAAGAGAUAAAGAAUAUGCAGCUUAAACAAGCGAAGGACAAUCGAAAAAUGGCUCUGAACAAGAAGGACCAAACAAUGGAGGUAAAAAGAGUUUUAGAAAUAUCAAGAAAGUGCAAAAUUCUCUUCUUAACAAAACAUUGAUUGAAAUUGUAAAAAAAAAACAACUUAAGACUUUGUUUAUAAAACACAUUUUUUUCCUCUAGCUUCUAAAACGGGAGCUUCAAGAAUUAAGAGAAGCAACAAACAACUGAAAUAAAUCAGCCAAAUGUUCCUCAUUCUUUGAGGACUCUCUUUUGAUUACCCGAGCCACUCACUUGGAUGGCUGCCUGUUCGUGCGGUUUGCGCGCUGGACUGUCGUUCGGAUUUAUCGACGGUCUAGGAUUCAAACCCUGCCCGCUAUCAUCCCCCGUCGUACUGAGGGAGGUUUGGACUAGGAAGUAAACUAUCUUCAACUCUGAAGGAACAUCCGAAACAUGUCAAACAAAACAAAACAAGCCUGUCAUUUUGUUUAAGACUAAUGCAAGGCCUUGGAAAUUGUUUCUAAGGAGGAAGAAAACACGUGUCAUUUUGGCAUUUCCAAAAAUAGAAAUGCAUCGCACCAUUGAACUCCUAUGUUAGCUUGUUGGUUUUUUUUUUUGGUUAGUUAAAUAUAUUUAAAUGUUUGACAUAAUGUUGGUAAUAUUUUCUAAAUGUUCAUAUUAUCUCUGGUUAUAUUCUUCUUCUAAAUCUGU